This 551-nucleotide ribosomal RNA is filed under the name uncultured bacterium. Its description in RNAcentral is "bacterial SSU rRNA". It matches the Rfam family "Bacterial small subunit ribosomal RNA", at positions 365 to 917 of the family's 1533-position model. The record is from RNAcentral.
UUGGUNAUGGACGGAAGUCUGACCAGCCAUGCCGCGUGCAGGAAGACGGCCCUAUGGGUUGUAAACUGCUUUUGCAGGGGAAUAAACCCCGGUACGUGUACCGGGCUGAAUGUACUCUGAGAAUAAGGAUCGGCUAACUCCGUGCCAGCAGCCGCGGUAAUACGGAGGAUCCAAGCGUUAUCCGGAUUUAUUGGGUUUAAAGGGUGCGUAGGCGGCCUAUUAAGUCAGGGGUGAAAGACGGUAGCUUAACUAUCGCAGUGCCUUUGAUACUGAUGGGCUUGAAUACACUAGAGGUAGGCGGAAUGUGACAAGUAGCGGUGAAAUGCAUAGAUAUGUCACAGAACACCAAUUGCGAAGGCAGCUUACUAUGGUGCAAUUGACGCUGAGGCACGAAAGCGUGGGGAUCAAACAGGAUUAGAUACCCUGGUAGUCCACGCCCUAAACGAUGAACACUCGAUGUUAGCGAUAUACAGUUAGCGUCUAAGCGAAAGCGUUAAGUGUUCCACCUGGGGAGUACGCCCGCAAGGGUGAAACUCAAAAAAAUUGACGGA